Molecule: small nuclear RNA, 97 nt
Filed under: Otolemur garnettii (small-eared galago)
Lineage: Eukaryota; Metazoa; Chordata; Mammalia; Primates; Galagidae
Description: U2 spliceosomal RNA
Rfam family: U2 spliceosomal RNA
About the family: U2 is a small nuclear RNA (snRNA) component of the spliceosome (involved in pre-mRNA splicing). Complementary binding between U2 snRNA (in an area lying towards the 5' end but 3' to hairpin I) and the branchpoint sequence (BPS) of the intron results the bulging out of an unpaired adenosine, on the BPS, which initiates a nucleophilic attack at the intronic 5' splice site, thus starting the first of two transesterification reactions that mediate splicing.
Source: Rfam by way of RNAcentral
AUCGCUUCUCGGCCUUUUGGCUAAGAUCAAGUGUAAUCUGUUGAUUAUUACUUUGGUGGUGUAGAAGCUGUUUAGUUUAAUUAAUUUCCCACUUAUU